Long non-coding RNA from Haemorhous mexicanus (house finch), 1279 nucleotides. RefSeq lists it as uncharacterized. NCBI's taxonomy places the organism in Eukaryota, Metazoa, Chordata, Aves, Passeriformes, Fringillidae. The transcript has 3 exons. The record is from RefSeq and is a predicted model, not a curated record.
GCGGCGGGAGAGUCGUGAGGGCGCCGCGGGCCCGGACCCUGCCGGGGGCCCUGUCCGCCUCACCGAGGGCUCGGCAGCGCUCAGACACAGCCCGCGGGGCCUCCUCGCUGUCGGAGAUAGGCAGCCUCAGCCCCCUCCCGGCCCCCCGGCAGCCGGCGCGCGCGUUCGGGCCGUGCUGUGGGGGACAGGGGUCAGCUGAGGUGAAGGCAGAGCGGACGGGCCGCAGACGCAUCAAAGCUCUUAAGAUGCUUUGGGACGGAAAUUGCAGCCAGGAUCAGUCAGUAAGCAGUUCAGGAGCUCUGGGCAAGAGUAAUUUCUCUUCUUUCUUAGUCUGAGUUGGAAAGGACUUAAAGGAUCGUCGAGUCCAGCUCUUUGACUCCUGGUGGGGUUGUUUGUUUAUUCUCUUCAGAAGCCAGAAGAGAUCCCUCAGAGAGAAUCAAACACAUUUUUACCUUUCUGCAUAUCCAGGGAUGGUACCAGCAGCCCAGGUAAUAGACACCAGAAGCACAGGGGAAAUUUUUCAUCUUGAUAAAAGAGAGAAUUCUUUUCCAGUUGGAGCAACUGAGAGAGUCCCCAGCCCUGGAGGCUCUCCAGACACAGCUGGGCAGGUGCUGGAAAAUCCCACCUAGGCUUUGUUUUCCCCCAAAGGUGGCACCAGGUGAUGGUUUGGGGUCCCCACCAGCCUGGGGAGCUCUGUGAUCUGUGAGGAUUGUGAAAAAUGUGUCUUUUGUGAUUGGCUUUUCACAAAUAUUCACAUGAAUAUUAUAUGUGUUGUGUUAGAAAGUGGUGCUGUGUUCAUUUUUUUAGUAGUGUGUUAAAGACAGUUUUAGGUUAUAACAUAAUGUUAAAAUAGAAACUGUGCUAUGUAAGAUACUUUUUUUAAAGAGAGGACUUGCACCAAAACAGCAGCCACAGGACAUAAAUCUUUCAGAGAAAAAGAAUUUAUUGCCCUCUUAUCAAGUUCUUCCCACCUCACUCAGCCCUGAAGAUGCCAUUAAGAUUCCAAAAAAAAACCAUUGACACCGAUCAAACAAAAUUAUUUGUUUGAACAAAAUUUAUACAUCAUGUAUGAAAGAUAUGAAUAUGCAACAAGUUACUGCUUUUAAGGGUUAACGUGGGUCCUGGUUUGGGCUUAUUUUGCCCAGAAAAAGUACCUGGACUGUCUGUAACUCUUUGUUUUUAUUGUCUCAUAUUGUCUUAAUCCAAACUGUCCAAAUUAUUAUUACUCUAAUUGUAUUGCUGUUUUUAUAACCAUUUUAUUACUAUUCAACUUUCAAAA